RNAcentral lists this long non-coding RNA (357 nucleotides) under Nicotiana benthamiana. RNAcentral's name for it is "long non-coding RNA (NBEN_LNC012775)". Lineage: Eukaryota; Viridiplantae; Streptophyta; Magnoliopsida; Solanales; Solanaceae. The record is from RNAcentral.
AAACAAAAGGCAAAUUCAUAUUUUCAUUCUCCUCUUCUACAUGGAUGCCGAUGUCUCUCUUUUGAGGGUUCAUUCCUUGCACAAAGGUCAAUAGCUUCAUCCACGUCCUGGAAUAUUUGCAAUUGUAUGACUCAAAACAAAAGGCAAAUUCAUAUUUUCAUUCUCCUCUUCUACAUGGAUGCCGAUGUCUCUCUUUUGGGGGUUCAUUCCUUGCACAAAGGUCAAUAGCUUCAUCCACGUCCUGAGUAUAUCCCGUCGAUCAUGAAACAUGUAUCUAGGUACAGCAGAAUGACUCAUGACAAAUCGAAUGUCUUCAACCACACGAAGAGUAGUUUCAUACAAAUUUCCCCAUUUAAU